GUGCAGCAGUCGCGAAAUAGUCUACAAUGGACGAAAGUCUGAUAGUGCGACGCCGUGUGUGCGAUUAAUUCCUUCGGGAUGUAAAGCACUUUUCUAUGAGAUAAAAGCUCUUUAGGUUAAUAGCUUAUUGAGACGGAUAUUAUUAUAGGAAUAAGCUCCGGCUAACUCCGUGCCAGCAGCCGCGGUAAUACGGAAGGAGCGAGCGUUGUCCGGAUUUACUAGGCGUAAAGGGCUAGUAGGCGACUAAUUAAGUUAUAUGUUAAAUCCCACGGCUCAACUGUGGUCCUGCAUGUAAUACUGGUUAGAUAGAGUACUGUAGAGGAAGGCAGAAUUCCUGGAGUAGCGGUGGAAUGCGCAGAUAUCAGGAAGAAUACCAAAAGCGAAGGCAGCCUUCUGGGCAGUUACUGUACGCUGAAUAGCGAAGGUGUGGGUAGCGAACAGGAUUAGAUA
This 450-nucleotide ribosomal RNA is filed under the name uncultured microorganism. RNAcentral describes it as "bacterial SSU rRNA". It matches the Rfam family "Bacterial small subunit ribosomal RNA", at positions 346 to 784 of the family's 1533-position model. The record is from RNAcentral.